UUGGCAUGAGUUUGUGAAAGCCGG
RNAcentral lists this microRNA (24 nucleotides) under Solanum lycopersicum (tomato). RNAcentral's name for it is "sly-miR10535b". Lineage: Eukaryota; Viridiplantae; Streptophyta; Magnoliopsida; Solanales; Solanaceae. The record is from miRBase by way of RNAcentral.